Molecule: ribosomal RNA, 253 nt
Filed under: uncultured bacterium
Lineage: Bacteria
Description: partial 16S ribosomal RNA
Rfam family: Bacterial small subunit ribosomal RNA
Source: RNAcentral
UACGGAGGGGACUAGCGUUGUUCGGAAUUACUGGGCGUAAAGCGCACGUAGGCGGAUUUGUAAGUCAGGGGUGAAAUCCCGAGGCUCAACCCCGGAACUGCCUCCAAAACUGUCAGUCUUGAGUUCGAGAGAGGUGAGUGGAAUUCCGAGUGUAGAGGUGAAAUUCGUAGAUAUUCGGAGGAACACCAGUGGCGAAGGCGGCUCACUGGCUCGAUACUGACGCUGAGGUGCGACAGCGUGGGGAGCAAACAGG